RNAcentral lists this long non-coding RNA (378 nucleotides) under Ricinus communis (castor bean). RNAcentral's name for it is "long non-coding RNA (RCOM_LNC001560)". Lineage: Eukaryota; Viridiplantae; Streptophyta; Magnoliopsida; Malpighiales; Euphorbiaceae. The record is from RNAcentral.
UUACAUUUCCUCACAUUUUCAAAUUUCAGUAACCACUUGACAAGACUAUCCGCCCGGCUCAGUCUUGCCAUCUCACAUACUCGGGUAGCUAUCCGUCCGGCUCAGCUUUCCCGAUCACACAAUAUCCAUACAAGAUUCAUCAAUCCUUAAUCACAAUCAAUUCACUUCACAACACAUCACAAUCAAUUCACUUCACAACACAUCACAACAAGCCAAAAACAUAACUAAUAUCAACUCAGUCAACCAAGAAAUUAUCAAGUAAUCAAACAGCAGUUCCUACUCAAUAUACACAAAGUUUAGUCUAUUAAAUACUUACCAAAAUUUAUAGUAUAACAAAAUAAUCCUAUUCUUUUUCUCUUACAACUUCCUUUCCUUUGG